CUUGAUCGAGCCGAGCCACAGCGGCCGGUCCGCGGGCCGGUCCUUGCCGUAGGUGGCGAGGAGCGCGCCGGCCUC
This is a non-coding RNA of Streptomyces mobaraensis, 75 nucleotides long. The record is from Rfam. Lineage: Bacteria; Bacillati; Actinomycetota; Actinomycetes; Kitasatosporales; Streptomycetaceae.